This 254-nucleotide ribosomal RNA is filed under the name uncultured bacterium. Its description in RNAcentral is "partial 16S ribosomal RNA". It matches the Rfam family "Bacterial small subunit ribosomal RNA", at positions 524 to 776 of the family's 1533-position model. The record is from RNAcentral.
UACGUAGGGACCGAGCGUUGUCCGGAAUCAUUGGGCGUAAAGCGUGCGCAGGCGGUCUGUUAAGACCGAUGUGAAAUCCCCGGGCUUAACCUGGGAACUGCAUUGGUGACUGGCAGGCUUUGAGUGUGGCAGAGGGAGGUAGAAUUCCACGUGUAGCAGUGAAAUGCGUAGAGAUGUGGAGGAAUACCGAUGGCGAAGGCAGCCUCCUGGGCCAACACUGACGCUCAUGCACGAAAGCGUGGGGAGCAAACAGG